UACGGAGGGUGCAAGCAUUGAUCGGAAUUACUGGGCGUAAAGGGCGCGUAGGCGGUUUGGAAAGUCAGGUGUGAAAUUCCGGGGCUCAACUCCGGAGCUGCACUUGAAACUUCCAGACUAGAGUACAGUUAGGGAAAACGGAAUUCCACGUGUAGCGGUGAAAUGCGUAGAUAUGUGGAAGAACACCGGUGGUGAAGACGGUUUUCUGGGCUGAAACUGACGCUGAGGCGCGAAAGCAAGGGGAGCAAACAGG
RNAcentral lists this ribosomal RNA (253 nucleotides) under uncultured bacterium. RNAcentral's name for it is "partial 16S ribosomal RNA". It matches the Rfam family "Bacterial small subunit ribosomal RNA", at positions 524 to 776 of the family's 1533-position model. The record is from RNAcentral.